This 499-nucleotide ribosomal RNA is filed under the name uncultured bacterium. RNAcentral describes it as "bacterial SSU rRNA". It matches the Rfam family "Bacterial small subunit ribosomal RNA", at positions 21 to 507 of the family's 1533-position model. The record is from RNAcentral.
GGCUCAGGAUGAACGCUAGCUACAGGCUUAACACAUGCAAGUCGAGGGGAAACGACAUCGAAAGCUUGCUUUUGAUGGGCGUCGACCGGCGCACGGGUGAGUAACGCGUAUCCAACCUGCCCAUCACUUGGGGAUAACCUUGCGAAAGUAAGACUAAUACCCAAUGAUAUCUCUAGAAGACAUCUGAAAGAGAUUAAAGAUUUAUCGGUGAUGGAUGGGGAUGCGUCUGAUUAGCUUGUUGGCGGGGUAACGGCCCACCAAGGCAACGAUCAGUAGGGGUUCUGAGAGGAAGGUCCCCCACAUUGGUACUGAGACACGGACCAAACUCCUACGGGAGGCAGCAGUGAGGAAUAUUGGUCAAUGGGCGGAAGCCUGAACCAGCCAAGUCGCGUGAGGGAUGACGGUCCUACGGAUUGUAAACCUCUUUAGCCGGGGAGUAAAGUGAGCGACGUGUCGCUCAUUGAGAGUACCCGGAGAAUAAGCAUCGGCUAACUCCGUG